Molecule: ribosomal RNA, 776 nt
Filed under: Neonothopanus nambi
Lineage: Eukaryota; Fungi; Basidiomycota; Agaricomycetes; Agaricales; Omphalotaceae
Description: eukaryotic LSU rRNA
Rfam family: 5.8S ribosomal RNA (bases 289-442)
Source: RNAcentral
AAAGUCGUAACAAGGUUUCCGUAGGUGAACCUGCGGAAGGAUCAUUAUUGAAAUGUUUUGAAGGGGAUUGUUGCUGGCCUAUAACAAGGCAUGUGCACAUCUUCUUUCAAUCUAUUCAUCCACCUGUGCAUCUUUUUGUAGGAGCCCUAUAGGAUGGUUGAACCGGGGGUCUAUUACUUCUGUUGUAGGCCUUGUUUGACAGUCCUGGGGCUUCUAUGUCUUACAAACUCUAAUGAAUGUAUCUGAAUGUCCAUUUAUUGGGACUUAACUGGCCCUCUAAACUUAUACAACUUUCAGCAACGGAUCUCUUGGCUCUCGCAUCGAUGAAGAACGCAGCGAAAUGCGAUAAGUAAUGUGAAUUGCAGAAUUCAGUGAAUCAUCGAAUCUUUGAACGCACCUUGCGCCCCUUGGUAUUCCGAGGGGCAUGCCUGUUUGAGUGUCAUUAAAUUCUCAACCUCACAAGUUUGUAGCUUCUGAGGCUUGGAUUGUGGAGGCUUGCUGGCAUCUAAGAUGCAUUGGCUCCUCUUAAAAGCAUUAGUAGAAACCAAUUGUUGGACUAUCUUUGGUGUGAUAAUUAUCUACGCCUUGGUGUUCUAUCUGACGAAAGGGUCUCUUUGGUUUGGGAUAGUUGCAAACGAGAGUUUGCUCUGUCUGUUUUAACUGUCAAAGAGGCUUUGGGGUGUCUGCUCUCUAACUGUCUGUUUGACGGACAACUAAUUGAUUUGUUUGACCUCAAAUCAGGUAGGACUACCCGCUGGACUUAAGCAUAUCAAUAA